RNAcentral lists this ribosomal RNA (453 nucleotides) under uncultured bacterium. RNAcentral's name for it is "bacterial SSU rRNA". It matches the Rfam family "Bacterial small subunit ribosomal RNA", at positions 1 to 507 of the family's 1533-position model. The record is from RNAcentral.
CGAUACGAGUUUGAUCAUGGCUCAGAACGAACGCUGGCGGCAGGCCUAACACAUGCAAGUCGAGCGCCCGCAAGGGAGCGGCGGACGGGUGAGUAACGCGUGGGAACGUGCCUCUUGCUACGGAAUAGCCUCGGGAAACUGGGAGUAAUACCGUAUGUGCCCUACGGGGGAAAGAUUUAUCGGCAAGAGAUCGGCCCGCGUUGGAUUAGGUAGUUGGUGGGGUAAUGGCCUACCAAGCCGACGAUCCAUAGCUGGUUUGAGAGGAUGAUCAGCCACACUGGGACUGAGACACGGCCCAGACUCCUACGGGAGGCAGCAGUGGGGAAUCUUAGACAAUGGGCGCAAGCCUGAUCUAGCCAUGCCGCGUGAGCGAUGAAGGCCUUAGGGUUGUAAAGCUCUUCAGUGGGGAAGAUAAUGACUGUACCCACAGAAGAAGCCCCGGCUAACUCCGUG